GAUGAACGCUGGCGGCGUGCCUAAUACAUGCAAGUAGAACGCUGAAGGAGGAGCUUGCUCUUCUGGAUGAGUUGCGAACGGGUGAGUAACGCGUAGGUAACCUGCCUGGUAGCGGGGGAUAACUAUUGGAAACGAUAGCUAAUACCGCAUGACAACAGUUAUUGCAUGAUAACUGUUUAAAAGGGGCAACUGCUCCACUACCAGAUGGACCUGCGUUGUAUUAGCUAGUUGGUGAGGUAACGGCUCACCAAGGCGACGAUACAUAGCCGACCUGAGAGGGGGGUCGGCCACACUGGGACUGAGACACGGCCCAGACUCCUACGGGAGGCAGCAGUAGGGAAUCUUCGGCAAUGGACGGAAGUCUGACCGAGCAACGCCGCGUGAGUGAAGAAGGUUGUCGGAUCGUAAAGCUCUGUUGUAAGAGAAGAACGAGUGUGAGAGUGGAAAGUUCACACUGUGACGGUAUCUGACCAGAAAGGGACGGCUAACUACGUG
This 495-nucleotide ribosomal RNA is filed under the name uncultured bacterium. RNAcentral's name for it is "partial 16S ribosomal RNA". It matches the Rfam family "Bacterial small subunit ribosomal RNA", at positions 28 to 507 of the family's 1533-position model. The record is from RNAcentral.